This 3754-nucleotide long non-coding RNA is filed under the name Rattus norvegicus (Norway rat). RNAcentral's name for it is "long non-coding RNA NONRATT024625". Lineage: Eukaryota; Metazoa; Chordata; Mammalia; Rodentia; Muridae. The record is from RNAcentral.
GAAGACCAAACGAUGUAACUCACAAGAAAGUGCCUUGUAAAUCGCCCAGAAAUUGCCAAAUACUUACUAACCAAGGAGGCUGUCCCUACCGCCCACUGGCCAGCCCGAGGCUCACUGUUGUGAGCACACAGUAGGGGCUGGGUAUUUGUGCUCGAUAAAUAAUUUCCAGAGUUAGAAAGAAAAAAAAAGUUCAUUCAACAAACAUUUUCUGAGACGCUGACCAUGUGCCCCAUGCACCAGGCUAUGGCUGAGGUACAAAGAUAAUGACGAACAGUCUCUUUCGGAGGCUAAUUAGGACCCUCGUCUUUACCAGCACUUUCUUUGAUGGCUUUUUAAACCAACCAGUUUUGUCCGGACAAGAGAAAAAAAAAAAAGCCCAACCGGGCUGCUUUAGGGAACCCAGUCUUGGAGUGGACAAUAGUGUCCUGGCCUCUGAAAGGAGCUGAUUGGAUUAGGAGGCAAAUGGAGACAGAAGGAGAAAGUAGGAGCAGACAAAUGCCAUGGGCGGAGACCCUCUCUGAGUUAAUUCAGGCUAAUUGGAGGGACCCUUCCCGUCUCGCAGAGUGGCCAGGGGCUCUCACUACUGCCUGCUCUGUCAGCACUGCUCUGUGCACAUGGAGACUGGAGCUACCCUGGUCCCUCUCUUGCAAUCGUCCAUUCAUUUGAUGCUCACAACUCCCUGUCCUGACCCAGGGCCGGCCUGCCGUCACGCGGGGAAGCAGAGGUCGCCAAGUGGUUUCUCUGAUGGGGCCCCCACAUAUCGUUAGCCUCUUGGCUUCUUCCGUUUUAGUAGCAGUGGACAUGUUCCUGUUUCCAGCCUGCACCUCCACUUCAGUUCCUCUCUGGACUUCUGACUCCGCUGCCCUCACCUGGAGUCCCGCCUCCCCCUGUCUUCCUUCCUUGCCACUCCAGUGUCUGUCUUUCCUUCACAGCCCGGCUUCUCGAGGCCUGUCUACACUCGCUGCUUUCCUUCCUCACCUCCAAUUUCCCCUCCAACCCACUGCUUCCUGACUCGCUCUUCUCCAUCGAACGGCUCUUGCUCAGGUAAAGACUUUUCUGUAGCUUGACCCUUGGCACCAUUCCAGCCUGGCUGGACACAAGGACAAUGCAUUUCCAUUUCUGCUGCUCCAUGGCUUCACGGCUCUGGUUCGCCCUCCUACUCCCACAUCACUGGCUUCACAGACACAACUCUUCUCACUUUCUCUGGGAACCUAGAUUCCCAGUCCUCUCAGUUUCCCAAACCUGCCUCAUGCCACCCAGCCGCCAGGGCUGCCUAGAGCACUCUGCGGUUGGUGGUCUGAGUUCAGGUCCUAGGAAAACCACUUAAAACUGGGAUCACGGUGUAGGCCAGCUCUUCCAAGCUAGCUACCUUGGCUAAAACAGAGUUCACGGUCUUCACCUGGAAGGCCAGGUGAAUUCCAUCAGGUAAGACACAUGACCCCUUAGCUGAGGGACUGGAAGGGGAAACCAAUUAGGUAUUCCUGAGCAAAUGCAUUUUGGGGGGUCACAAUUAAGUUUUCUCAAAGUUAGGUUCCCACAGAGAAGAUCAAAGAGCAGGGGCAGUGGGAGGGGGAGUCUGGGUAGGGGAGUUGGAGGAAGGGCGAGCAUUAGCCCAGGAAAGGAGAUUCAGAAAAUACUAAGAGCUACCCAAACCUCAGCAGAAGCUUUCCUCCUAGGUUAGCCUGGGCUUAGAGGAGAAAAACCAGAAGGAAGCUUUUAAGUUGAUUACCCAGUGACACGUCCCAGGAAGCCUCUAUAUCACAUAGCCCCAUUGAAGGGGUUUGAGUUCCUCUCCCCAGGUUUAACCUCUUGCCCUGAUUACCCUUCCCUAAUGCCUCCCUGGACUGGUGAUUAAAGUCCCCAUGGUACAAGAAAGGUCUCCAGGAAUGACCAGCUCCUGGGAUGGAGCCACUCCUGCCCCCCCCCCCGGCCAGUUUUUUUUUUUUUUUUUUUUUCUUUCCAGUUUUAUUCUACUUUUUUUGGCCUUUCUCCUUAAUGAACAUGGGGCUAAUCUUGGGCCUUGUGGAAGGAAGAGGCCUCAGAGCUAAUGAGGUAGCUGCUGGGCUCCAAUAGUCAUCUCCUAAGGAGCCCUCUUUGUCUGAGAAGGAAAAACAUUGAUUAUCAUAAUGAGAACUGAGCUGGUGGCUGAGGGGUGGGGUGGGGGCUUUUGGGUUCUUUAAGCUACACUUUAAUGUAGAUUUCCUUCCUCAUUGAAGCCUAACCCCUCCACCCCACUCCACCCCCGCCCCUGCCCCGUCCCAGUGCAAGACCCAUUGAAUGGGGUGGCAAGUUGAAGGUAGCUUUGAGUCAAGGAACUACAAGAGGUCCAUAGUGACUACAGUCAUUCCUUGUCACCCAGACUCCUGCCAAGUUCCCCAGUCCCACCCCAGCAAUCAACAAGCAAAGGGGACUCCCUCCUCCCACCCCACGCACACCCCCCUUUCCUCAGUGGGUCUACUAUAGCACCAUGGGUCCAAGUUAUGUCACUACCCUGUGCUGGACUUGAAGGUAGGGUACUAGGAUAGAGCGGAGGCCUAGGAGAGGAGAAGCCACCCACAAGGCUCCCUGUCCACAGUGCACAGUCAGUUGUUGAGAUUUCCACUGUCUGCAGGGUCCCUUGUCUCAAAUACCUGUUAAUAAUAUUUACAUUGAAAUAAUAGGUCCCCGAAGCCACUUUUGAUAUUCUAGGAGUCCGGGAGUAUUUCAAAAGCUAGGGCCAUGCGGAGAGGGCCUUUGUUCAGGAUUUUAGUCUUAGGUCAUCAGGCCUCCAAACUUAGCAGCCUUGAGCAACUCAAACAAGACUCCUAUCCACCCACCCUGGCCCUCCCCCCUCCCCCCACCUUGCUACCAUCUCAGCCCUUGAUGUUCUGGAAGGCAGGAAGCCUGUAAGUAGGACUCCUGGUAACUGCUUCCUGAAGACAGUUUGCUUCUCACCCACUAGCAUGCUUCCUGGGACUCUCAGGUAGAUCAAUGGAUAUAAAAGCCCUCCUCCCCUUUCAGUCCAGGCAUUUAGGCUGGCUUCAGAGUAGUUGGCCCACAGGGCUAGAGUGUUCUGGGUACUCAACAUCUAUGGAAUCAUUCAGGACAUACUGGGAAGUUACGGAGAUGAGGCCAAGGAGGGGGAGGGAGGAGGCAGGAAAAGCACCAGCCCCAAUUCUUCUGAGAACAACUGAUUUUUUUUCUGCCUCUACUGCCCAUUCCCCUCCUUCAUUCUCUGUCUCAGCCUCCCUCUGUUUGUCUCCCCCUACCCCCUUUUCCCAUUUGAAUCUGGUUGGUUCCUUUGGGGUGCCCCUAGGCCACCCCCUCCUCCUCUGGGUGUCCCAGCACCAACCCGGUAAAUAGUGGGGCUCAGUAAGAGUAUGUGGGAUGAUGUAUGGUGGGACAGGCGGACGAAUGGACAGGCUCAACUGCCACAUCUGGGCAGCUAAGGGUCAAGGGGUUGCGGGUGUCUGGCUCAAGGGACUGGGAUCAUUAGUGACCUGCCCUAGUCUCAGCCCCCUUUGAGGGGUUCUAGGGUUGCGCCUUGCAUUCGUCCGCGCGUCUACUCUGUCAUCCACAGUUGAUCCUAACUGAGCGUGCCCAUGGUCCUGGCCCUGGGCUUGGCACCUGCCACCUAGCUUGUCCCUUGAUGGCCUCUGCUUCCUAGGGAGGGCAAGCUGGGGGGUUGUCUGGGAGCCAGAGCAGUGGUCUCUGGCUCCAUAGAGGGCAUUCAGAGGGCAUGGGGUGGGCCUGGUUUGCCUGCCCUGCCUUUGUG